UAUGCGUAUGACUACAGAGUCUCUAGGUAUCCCCUUCGUCGUCCUCCUGCGGAACGGGCUCGGGAACCAUGUCUUCCUAAUCUGAAAUGGUUAAUUAAGGAGUGAGCUACACUAGCCCAGUAAGAACAUCACGAUAUCUCACCGUCACGGAGAUAAAGGUGGGUAGAAAACCACAAAAAGACCAAUGGAGCAUAAUUUACAACAAAACCUUUUAUCAAUAAUAAAACUUUUACCAUCCACUUACCUUGGUGGAAUUUAUGAAAACAAUAUGAGAAAACAAUAACAUUAUCAUAAUCAUUGAAUAAUCUAAGCUGUAAAACAUGACACUUAUCACGCCUCUUGUAAUACAAUCAUUGUACAACAUAUCUUUUUUUCUCAUUUACCAGCCUACUAGUAUCCGUGGGGGUCCAUAGGGGUUCCGCUACCCGUUAACCUUUAACAUUCAUAAUCAGUUUCCAGGGCCGUCCCCAUACCCCGUCCGGUAUGGGCGCCAAAACCAUGAACCUCAAUACCCCGUCCGGUAUGAGGGUGAAACGGGCC
This 540-nucleotide long non-coding RNA is filed under the name Carica papaya (papaya). RNAcentral describes it as "long non-coding RNA (CPAP_LNC004811)". The record is from RNAcentral. Lineage: Eukaryota; Viridiplantae; Streptophyta; Magnoliopsida; Brassicales; Caricaceae.